Molecule: ribosomal RNA, 1027 nt
Filed under: Salmonella enterica subsp. enterica serovar Derby
Lineage: Bacteria; Pseudomonadati; Pseudomonadota; Gammaproteobacteria; Enterobacterales; Enterobacteriaceae
Also listed under: 9 other names
Description: partial 23S ribosomal RNA
Rfam family: Bacterial large subunit ribosomal RNA
Source: RNAcentral
AGACCCGAAACCCGGUGAUCUAGCCAUGGGCAGGUUGAAGGUUGGGUAACACUAACUGGAGGACCGAACCGACUAAUGUUGAAAAAUUAGCGGAUGACCUGUGGCUGGGGGUGAAAGGCCAAUCAAACCGGGAGAUAGCUGGUUCUCCCCGAAAGCUAUUUAGGUAGCGCCUCGUGAAUUCAUCUCCGGGGGUAGAGCACUGUUUCGGCUAGGGGGCCAUCCCGGCUUACCAACCCGAUGCAAACUGCGAAUACCGGAGAAUGUUAUCACGGGAGACACACGGCGGGUGCUAACGUCCGUCGUGAAGAGGGAAACAACCCAGACCGCCAGCUAAGGUCCCAAAGUCAUGGUUAAGUGGGAAACGAUGUGGGAAGGCCCAGACAGCCAGGAUGUUGGCUUAGAAGCAGCCAUCAUUUAAAGAAAGCGUAAUAGCUCACUGGUCGAGUCGGCCUGCGCGGAAGAUGUAACGGGGCUAAACCAUGCACCGAAGCUGCGGCAGCGACGCUGAUGCGUUGUUGGGUAGGGGAGCGUUCUGUAAGCCUGCGAAGGUGGCCUGUGAGGGUUGCUGGAGGUAUCAGAAGUGCGAAUGCUGACAUAAGUAACGAUAAAGCGGGUGAAAAGCCCGCUCGCCGGAAGACCAAGGGUUCCUGUCCAACGUUAAUCGGGGCAGGGUGAGUCGACCCCUAAGGCGAGGCCGAAAGGCGUAGUCGAUGGGAAACGGGUUAAUAUUCCCGUACUUGGUGUUACUGCGAAGGGGGGACGGAGAAGGCUAUGUUGGCCGGGCGACGGUUGUCCCGGUUUAAGCGUGUAGGUGUGUGUUCCAGGUAAAUCCGGUUCACUUUAACACUGAGGCGUGAUGACGAGGCACUACGGUGCUGAAGCAACAAAUGCCCUGCUUCCAGGAAAAGCCUCUAAGCAUCAGGUAACAUCAAAUCGUACCCCAAACCGACACAGGUGGUCAGGUAGAGAAUACCAAGGCGCUUGAGAGAACUCGGGUGAAGGAACUAGGCAAAAUGGUGCCGUAACU